RNAcentral lists this ribosomal RNA (467 nucleotides) under uncultured bacterium. RNAcentral's name for it is "bacterial SSU rRNA". It matches the Rfam family "Bacterial small subunit ribosomal RNA", at positions 329 to 794 of the family's 1533-position model. The record is from RNAcentral.
UUCCAGACUCCUACGGGAGGCAGCAGUGAGGAAUAUUGGUCAAUGGCCGCAGGGCUGAACCAGCCAAGUCGCGUGAGGGAUGACGGUCCUAUGGAUUGUAAACCUCUUUUGUCAGGGAACAAAGGCGGGGACGUGUCCCCGGAUGAGUGUACCUGAAGAAAAAGCAUCGGCUAACUCCGUGCCAGCAGCCGCGGUAAUACGGAGGAUGCGAGCGUUAUCCGGAUUUAUUGGGUUUAAAGGGUGCGUAGGCGGGCUGUUAAGUCAGCGGUCAAAUGUCGGGGCUCAACCCCGGCCUGCCGUUGAAACUGGCGGCCUCGAGUGGGCGAGAAGUAUGCGGAAUGCGUGGUGUAGCGGUGAAAUGCAUAGAUAUCACGCAGAACUCCGAUUGCGAAGGCAGCAUACCGGCGCCCGACUGACGCUGAGGCACGAAAGCGUGGGUAUCGAACAGGAUUAGAUACCCCCGUACU